Protobothrops mucrosquamatus (brown spotted pit viper) is the source of this 107-nucleotide small nuclear RNA. Lineage: Eukaryota; Metazoa; Chordata; Lepidosauria; Squamata; Viperidae. The record is from RefSeq and is a predicted model, not a curated record.
GUGCUUGCUUCAGCAGCACGUAUACUAAAAUUGUAAUGAUAUAGAGAUGAUUAGCAUGGCCCCUGCACAUGGAUUAAGUUUCCAUUUAAAAAGAAAGAAAGAGGCAA